This is an RNA transcript of Terrapene triunguis (Three-toed box turtle), 2460 nucleotides long. It is a transcript of the gene named paraspeckle component 1, with no coding region annotated. The record is from RefSeq and is a predicted model, not a curated record. The transcript is spliced from 9 exons. NCBI's taxonomy places the organism in Eukaryota, Metazoa, Chordata, Testudines, Emydidae.
GGGGCAUUCGGGGACACAAGCAAACCUGCCCCCACCCCAUUGGAGUACGCCACGGCGCGCGCUCCAGCCCACACAGUCCCCGACUAGUCCCAGCUUCCACACGCUCGGCUCGUACGAUCCCCACGCCCCCUUCCUCCCGCCGGUGGGAGUCACUGCGCAGGCGCAACGGCUGGGCAGCUGGAGGGCGGGGCUUUCCUUAGAGACGUUAACUCGUUGGGGUUGGCGCCGCCGCCAUUUUGAAUUCGCUCGCUGGUGGUCCGGUCGGUAGCUGCGGCGGCUAAGUGCGGCUCCGUGACCCCCUGAGAGCGCGAGAGAGACCGAGGGAAGACGAAGCAUGGCAGCGAACAGCCGGAACUUGAAACAAGUGCGGAUCGAAAACAGCUCCCCGGCGGCCCCGCUCGGCAUGGUGGGGGGCGGCGGCCUGAAGGGGAUGCGGGGCCUGGAGGCGGACAACGAGGUAGGGGCCAUGGCGCUGGCGCAGGUCAAAGAGGCUGGCGACGAGGAGCAGGAGGUCGGGUUCACCAUCGACAUCAAGAGCUUCCUCAAGCCCGGCGAAAAGAGCUACACGCAGCGCUGCCGUCUCUUCGUGGGGAACCUGCCCACCGACAUCACCGAGGAGGACUUCAAGCGCCUCUUCGAGCGCUACGGGGAGCCCAGCGAGGUCUUCAUCAACCGCGACCGCGGCUUCGGCUUCAUCCGCCUGGAAUCUAGAACACUGGCUGAAAUAGCAAAGACAGAACUUGAUGGUACUAUUUUGAAGAGUAGACCACUUCGUAUUCGAUUUGCUACACAUGGAGCUGCCUUAACAGUCAAGAAUCUUUCACCUGUGGUUUCCAAUGAGCUUCUGGAACAAGCUUUUUCUCAAUUUGGGCCAGUGGAGAGGGCUGUUGUUGUUGUAGAUGACCGUGGCAGAGCUACAGGAAAAGGUUUUGUAGAGUUUGCAGCAAAACCUCCGGCAAGGAAGGCUCUAGAGAGAUGCAGUGAUGGGGCAUUCUUACUAACAACAACACCUCGACCUGUUGUUGUAGAACCUAUGGAACAAUUUGAUGAUGAAGAUGGGCUACCAGAGAAAUUAAUGCAAAAAACGCAACAGUAUCAUAAGGAAAGAGAGCAGCCUCCACGUUUUGCUCAACCUGGAACAUUUGAAUUUGAGUAUGCUUCCCGAUGGAAGGCUCUUGAUGAGAUGGAAAAGCAGCAGCGAGAACAGGUUGACAGGAAUAUUAGAGAAGCCAAAGAGAAACUAGAGGCAGAAAUGGAAGCAGCUAGACAUGAACAUCAGUUAAUGCUGAUGAGGCAAGAUCUCAUGAGGCGCCAGGAAGAACUGAGACGUUUGGAAGAACUUAGAAAUCAAGAGCUACAGAAACGCAAGCAAAUACAAUUGAGACAUGAAGAAGAACAUCGACGUCGUGAAGAAGAGAUGCUACGGCAGAGAGAACAGGAAGAACUGAGACGACAGCAGGAAGGAGGAUUUAAGCCAAAUUUCUUGGACAAUGAAAUCAAAUGGACAAAUGCAAAUACGAACACAGCUGUGCGGAAUAUCUGGCUGAAGGUUUCUUUUCGAUAACAUCUGUUUCCCCAAAUACAUAAUCACAAAGGAGUACAUGUCCUGAGUGCAUCUCAAAAAUGGAGUUCUUCCUUUCUGUGUGGUGGAGAGUGGGUAUCAUAAAGUGAUUGUUUUUCCUGCUGGCUAAGUCAAAGUGCCAUAUGGCCCACUUCAAUGGAAGUCUAUUUACUCUGCAGUUCUGUAUCUUCAGGUUAAAAUUAAAAUGCUAAAAUGCAGAUGAAGAUUGGUUUAAAAAAAAAAGUUCUGCUCUGUCUUAAGAGUACAGAAGGUCAAGAUCCUGAAGCCAUUUUUUUUUUUUACUUUCAGGUUGGAAAAAGGCAGCAAUGAAGUCAAUUUCAUCUUCACCCUGAGAAAUACUGUGCAGAGCAUUGAGCAACAAACAUACUGUUCUCCCAGUGUGAAGGAGAUAGAGCUGAAGCAUGUCUGUCACUAUCAGCAUCCUCCACACACAAAAAAAAAAGCCAUUUUUUUUCAAAAAAAACAUUGGUGCUGAAUCAACAUUGAUUUAUAACUUUUGAUUUAUGAUGUGGGGGCUAUAAGCAUGGAAAGUUCUGGUAGACUUCUAUUCAUAGUAUUGAUAACCGGGUUUUCAAGUUUGUAGACACUAUAACCCAAGGCAGGUUAAAUUUAUUAUAUGACUGAACUGCAUUUAUGGUGUUUCUCCAAGAUAGAGAAGUAACUGAGUUAAAUGACACCAUCAAUUCUUAUAAUCAGGAAAAGGAUGGGAGUUAAGUGUGGUAAAAUUAAUGGAAGUUGCAGCAAAAUCAGCAAACUUGACACCUGCUGAUAUACAAAGUCUGGAAUAAGUUGUUACGUGCUAUAUCUCAAAGUAGCACCCUGUAACCCCCAUAUUCAUCAUUUGUAUAUUGUGAUUUUUCAUAAAAAGCAUGCCAUGU